RNAcentral lists this ribosomal RNA (640 nucleotides) under Aquipseudomonas alcaligenes. RNAcentral describes it as "bacterial SSU rRNA". It matches the Rfam family "Bacterial small subunit ribosomal RNA", at positions 31 to 670 of the family's 1533-position model. The record is from RNAcentral. Lineage: Bacteria; Pseudomonadati; Pseudomonadota; Gammaproteobacteria; Pseudomonadales; Pseudomonadaceae.
GGUCAGUGGCGGCAGCUACACAUGCAGUCGAGCGGAUGAGUGGAGCUUGCUCCAUGAUUCAGCGGCGGACGGGUGAGUAAUGCCUAGGAAUCUGCCUGGUAGUGGGGGACAACGUUUCGAAAGGAACGCUAAUACCGCAUACGUCCUACGGGAGAAAGCAGGGGACCUUCGGGCCUUGCGCUAUCAGAUGAGCCUAGGUCGGAUUAGCUAGUAGGUGAGGUAAAGGCUCACCUAGGCGACGAUCCGUAACUGGUCUGAGAGGAUGAUCAGUCACACUGGAACUGAGACACGGUCCAGACUCCUACGGGAGGCAGCAGUGGGGAAUAUUGGACAAUGGGCGAAAGCCUGAUCCAGCCAUGCCGCGUGUGUGAAGAAGGUCUUCGGAUUGUAAAGCACUUUAAGUUGGGAGGAAGGGCAGUAAGUUAAUACCUUGCUGUUUUGACGUUACCAACAGAAUAAGCACCGGCUAACUUCGUGCCAGCAGCCGCGGUAAUACGAAGGGUGCAAGCGUUAAUCGGAAUUACUGGGCGUAAAGCGCGCGUAGGUGGUUCAGCAAGUUGGAGGUGAAAUCCCCGGGCUCAACCUGGGAACUGCCUCCAAAACUACUGAGCUAGAGUACGGUAGAGGGUAGUGGAAUUUC